ACUCACGGAGUAACAGAGCAGUCUGCUCAGUUACAUGUGCAACGACUCCAGACCUCAGCACAACACGUGCCUCUGCCUGAAGGACAGGCUGGCAGCUGCAGGAGAUGGGAUUUUAAUGAAAUGGUGUCUUAAUGUAUAUUUUAUUACUGGAUGCACUUGCAAACCUUCCUGUUUGGCGGGAAAGGAUUCUCGAGUGAGCUUUUGAACAUAGAAGAGGGUGCUGCUUCAUUUGUGUCAACAGAAGAAAGCCUCUUUCACAUAGAAGAACGAGGUAGUAGCCAGACGACUUCUUUCCAGUGGAGGAGCCCAUUUGCUCCACAUCCCAUGGCAGGCAGGAUAUGUGACACCCUGUGAACAUUAUGCACGGAAUUACUUUCAUCUGUCUAUUUUGAAAUGCACACCUGAGUUCUUCUACACACAGAGGAAGGAGCUCACUAAAAGCUGGACACUGGAGGAUUGGGAACGGAAGAUCAAGAAGCAUCAUUUCAAGAGCCUGUUCCUGAUGUUUGUGAAGCAUUGUUAUUGCACAUAAGCCACUUUAAGGUUCCCCAGAGAGUCGCCCACACUGUUCUUCAACUCCUCCUUCCCCGGAUUGAGCUUCUCCUUUAGACCCGCAAACCCCCCCAGUGGCAUUUCUCCUUCCCUUGCUCUUCUGUCCCUCAAACACUUGUCUUCUCAC
Molecule: long non-coding RNA, 679 nt
Organism: Onychostoma macrolepis
Lineage: Eukaryota; Metazoa; Chordata; Actinopteri; Cypriniformes; Cyprinidae
Exons: 4
Source: RefSeq, a predicted model, not a curated record